GAUGAACGCUAGCGGCAGGCUUAAUACAUGCAAGUCGAGGGGGAUUAGUUGUCUAGCAAUAGAUGGCUAUGAGACCGGCAAACGGGUGCGGAACACGUACGCAACCUUCCCAAAACUGGUGAAUAGCCCUCCGAAAGGAGGAUUAAUACACCGUAACUUAAUGAGGUGGCAUCACUUUAUUAAUAUAGCUCCGGCGGUUUUGGAUGGGCGUGCGCCUGAUUAGGUAGUUGGCGGGGUAACGGCCCACCAAGCCUACGAUCAGUAACUGGUGUGAGAGCACGACCAGUCACACGGGCACUGAGACACGGGCCCGACUCCUACGGGAGGCAGCAGUAAGGAAUAUUGGUCAAUGGACGCAAGUCUGAACCAGCCAUGCCGCGUGAAGGAUGACGGCCCUCUGGGUUGUAAACUUCUUUUAUCUGGACGAAAAAGGUCAUUCUUGAUCACUUGACGGUACCAGAGGAAUAAGCACCGGCUAACUCCGUGCCAGCAGCCGCGGU
Molecule: ribosomal RNA, 500 nt
Filed under: uncultured bacterium
Lineage: Bacteria
Description: bacterial SSU rRNA
Rfam family: Bacterial small subunit ribosomal RNA
Source: RNAcentral